RNAcentral lists this ribosomal RNA (496 nucleotides) under uncultured Actinomycetes bacterium. Its description in RNAcentral is "bacterial SSU rRNA". It matches the Rfam family "Bacterial small subunit ribosomal RNA", at positions 355 to 866 of the family's 1533-position model. The record is from RNAcentral. Lineage: Bacteria; Bacillati; Actinomycetota; Actinomycetes.
CGGGGAAUAUUGCGCAAUGGGCGAAAGCCUGACGCAGCAACGCCGCGUGAGGGAUGAAGGCUUUCGGGUUGUAAACCUCUUUCAGCAGGGACGAUUGUGACGGUACCUGCAGAAGAAGCCCCGGCCAACUACGUGCCAGCAGCCGCGGUAACACGUAGGGGGCGAGCGUUGUCCGGAUUUAUUGGGCGUAAAGAGCUCGUAGGUGGUUCGGUAAGUCGGGUGUGAAAACUCUGGGCUCAACUCAGAGACGCCACCUGAUACUGCCGUGACUGGAGUCUGGUAGGGGAGUGUGGAAUUCCCGGUGUAGCGGUGAAAUGCGCAGAUAUCGGGAGGAACACCAGUGGCGAAGGCGGCACUCUGGGCCAGUACUGACACUGAGGAGCGAAAGCGUGGGUAGCGAACAGGAUUAGAUACCCUGGUAGUCCACGCCGUAAACGUUGGGCACUAGGUGUGGGUCUCAACCACGGGAUCCGUGCCGCAGCUAACGCAUUAAGUG